This 363-nucleotide non-coding RNA is filed under the name Salmonella enterica subsp. enterica serovar Typhimurium. The record is from RNAcentral. Lineage: Bacteria; Pseudomonadati; Pseudomonadota; Gammaproteobacteria; Enterobacterales; Enterobacteriaceae.
UGGUGGAGCUGGCGGGAGUUGAACCCGCGUCCGAAAUUCCUACAUCCUCGGUACUACAUGCUUAGUCAGUCUUUACAUUCGCCUGGCACCUGCGGACGGACACGCCACUACCAGACUAGCCUGAUUCGUUUUAACGCUUCAACCCCAGGCAGGGCAUCCGCGCGAUCUCUUUUGGGUUUGACCUCUCUUGAUCCCCGUCCUAAGAGCGGAGGCUAGGGAGAGAGGGCUCUAAGCAGGUUAUUAAGCUGCUAAAGCGUAGUUUUCGUCGUUUGCGACUAUUUUUUUGCGGCUUUUUACGAGGCCAACCGCCCCUCGGCAUGCACCUUGGGUUUCGCAAAUCCCGUCGAAUCCAGAAUCAGCCCC